Molecule: long non-coding RNA, 343 nt
Filed under: Homo sapiens (human)
Lineage: Eukaryota; Metazoa; Chordata; Mammalia; Primates; Hominidae
Description: HSALNT0191849
Source: RNAcentral
CCCAAAACAAUGAUCCAAGUGCAAGUAAUUUAUUUGGCUGAUGAUUCCAGGAAAUACUGGGAAGGGAGUUAGGGAGACAGAAACCAGAAGAUAGAAACUAAAGGCCACUUCAUUGAACACAUCACAAUGCACCAUCGCUACUGGGUCCCCACACACCUAUCCUGUACUAGCAGAGUCCAUAAGAGCACUGCAAAAGAUGAUACAUUUCAGUACGAGUGGGGCUCUCUCUCCUAGACGCCAUCUCUAACCCUUCUGAUAAGUGUUCUUUAGGUGGUUCUCACUCCAGUGGAGCAAUUCAGCAGGCACAUACAUUUGGUGGGCAAAGUGAAUACUUGUAGCCGAU